RNAcentral lists this ribosomal RNA (261 nucleotides) under uncultured prokaryote. RNAcentral describes it as "partial 16S ribosomal RNA". It matches the Rfam family "Bacterial small subunit ribosomal RNA", at positions 524 to 784 of the family's 1533-position model. The record is from RNAcentral.
UACGUAGGUGGCAAGCGUUGUCCGGAUUUACUGGGUGUAAAGGGCGUGUAGGCGGGCUGUCAAGUCAGAUGUGAAAUCUAUGGGCUUAACCCAUAACGUGCAUUUGAAACUGAUAGUCUUGAGUGAUGGAGAGGCAGGCGGAAUUCCUAGUGUAGCGGUGAAAUGCGUAGAUAUUAGGAGGAACACCAGUGGCGAAGGCGGCCUGCUGGACAUUAACUGACGCUGAGGCGCGAAAGCGUGGGGAGCAAACAGGAUUAGAUA